GGAAUUACUGGGCGUAAAGGGCUCGUAGGCGGCCAACUAAGUCAGACGUGAAAUCCCCCGGCUUAACCUGGGAACUGCGUCUGAUACUGGAAGGCUUGAGUAUGGGAGAGGGAUGUAGAAUUCCAGGUGUAGCGGUGAAAUGCGUAGAUAUCUGGAGGAAUACCGGUGGCGAAGGCGGCAUCCUGGACCGGCAUUGACGCUGAGGCGCGAAAGCUAGGGGAGCAAACGGG
RNAcentral lists this ribosomal RNA (230 nucleotides) under uncultured bacterium. Its description in RNAcentral is "partial 16S ribosomal RNA". It matches the Rfam family "Bacterial small subunit ribosomal RNA", at positions 547 to 776 of the family's 1533-position model. The record is from RNAcentral.